RNAcentral lists this ribosomal RNA (283 nucleotides) under uncultured bacterium. Its description in RNAcentral is "partial 16S ribosomal RNA". It matches the Rfam family "Bacterial small subunit ribosomal RNA", at positions 28 to 309 of the family's 1533-position model. The record is from RNAcentral.
GAUGAACGCUAGCGGCAGGCCUAAUACAUGCAAGUCGAACGAUAGAUUGGUGCUUGCACUGAUCGAAAAGUGGCGCACGGGUGCGUAACGCGUAUGCAACCUACCUUAUUCAGGGGGAUAGCCCGAAGAAAUUCGGAUUAACACCGCAUAAAAUCACAGCUCAGCAUUGAGUAAUGAUCAAAUAUUUAUAGGAAUAAGAUGGGCAUGCGUGUCAUUAGCUAGUUGGCGGGGUAACGGCCCACCAAGGCGACGAUGACUAGGGGAUCUGAGAGGAUCGACCCCC